RNAcentral lists this ribosomal RNA (296 nucleotides) under Bacillus sp. LB. Its description in RNAcentral is "partial 16S ribosomal RNA". It matches the Rfam family "Bacterial small subunit ribosomal RNA", at positions 358 to 645 of the family's 1533-position model. The record is from RNAcentral. Lineage: Bacteria; Bacillati; Bacillota; Bacilli; Caryophanales; Bacillaceae.
GGAAUCUUCCGCAAUGGGCGAAAGCCUGACGGAGCGACGCCGCGUGAGCGAAGAAGGCCUUCGGGUCGUAAAGCUCUGUUGUGAGGGACGAAGGAGCGCCGUUCGAAGAGGGCGGCGCGGUGACGGUACCUCACGAGAAAGCCCCGGCUAACUACGUGCCAGCAGCCGCGGUAAUACGUAGGGGGCGAGCGUUGUCCGGAAUUAUUGGGCGUAAAGCGCGCGCAGGCGGUCUCUUAAGUCUGAUGUGAAAGCCCACGGCUCAACCGUGGAGGGUCAUUGGAAACUGGGGGACUUGA